ACCAUACACGGACAUACAUGGAAGCGGAGAUGCCCUCAUGUUUAUCGAUGAUGCAGUGAUUGCCGGUUUGUUGACUGUGGGUCUGAUGGUCAUUUUCCUGGCCGGGGUGGGCGUUUUCAUCUACCAGGAUGCGCGCAAGAGCAGCAAGAAGAAUCCCUGAUUCCACUGAUUUCGAGAGUUCCGACCAGCGGUGCACGAUCUCGGAACCUGCAAAUGAGCAUGGCUCGCAAGGCCUUUGGCGGUUACCUUCUGGUGACCGCCUUUUU
This 266-nucleotide small RNA is filed under the name Halopseudomonas bauzanensis. Its description in RNAcentral is "Pseudomonas sp. BZ93 PhrS". It matches the Rfam family "PhrS". Lineage: Bacteria; Pseudomonadati; Pseudomonadota; Gammaproteobacteria; Pseudomonadales; Pseudomonadaceae. The record is from Rfam by way of RNAcentral.